CCUGCUCGCUGCCACUGCUCACCCACCAUUUUCCGCGCUGGCCCCGGUGGUCAGCGCACAUCAUAGUGAGCGAUCUAACUCAUGGUGGAACUCCCAAGGGGACAAUUUUGCAUAUUAGCCUUUUAUUAAAUAGGAGGAUAAUGUUUUCCAGGUUUAUCCAUCUUGUCGCAUGUAUCAGUAAUUUACUCUUUUUUAUGGCUGAAUAAUGUCCCAUUGCAUGGAUAAACCCCUAUUUUAUCUGUUAAUGCACAUUUGGGUUUCCAGUCAUUGAAUGAAUGCUUCUAUGAAUAAUGCUUCUAUGAACAUUCAUAUAUAAGUUUUUAUAUAAACGUGUUCUUUGGGGAAUAUAUUUAGGAGUGGAAUUGCAGUGUCAUAUGGUAAUUCUAUGUUGCCUGAAGAACCACUAAACUAUUCCAUAGCAGCUAAACCACUUUACAUUCCCAACAGUAAUGUAUAAGGGUUCUUUUUUUCUUUUUUAAUUGAUUUCAGAGAGGAAGGAAGAGAGAUAGAGAAACAUCAAUGAUGAGAGAGAAUCAUUGAUUGGCUCCCUCCUGCACGUCCCCUACUCGGGGGUCGGGGGGAUCGAGCCUGCAACCCGGGCAUGUGCCCUUGGCUGGAAUCGAACCUGGGACCCUUUAGUCUGCAGGCUGAUGCUCUAUCCACUGAGUCAAACCAGCUAGGCCUGUGUAAGGGUUCUGAUUUCUCCACAUCUUAGUCAACACUUGUUUUCUGUUUGUUUGUUUUAAUUAUAGUCAUCCUAGUAGAUGUGAAGUGGUGUCUCAAUGGCUAAUGAUGGUGAGCAUUUUUUUCAUAUGCUUAUUGGCCAUUUGUAUAUCUUAGAAUUGUCUAUUCAUACCUUUUGCUCACUUGAAAAUUGUCAUUUUAUCAUUGAGUUGUAAGAGUUCUUUUUAUAUUCUAGAUACUAGACUCUUAGCUGUGUCCUAUGGACACCCCUCCCCCCCAACUGGUCUUUGAACAUUUCCUUUCUGUCACAAAAAGAUGUUCCAUACUAAUCUUACAUUUCCCUACCUUUCACCUGGAAUCAGCCAUUUUCCCAAGGAGUCCUGGUUCCCUUUAGUGGGGAUUGGAAAUUAGAAACUAAGAUCUGGACCAGCGGUUGCCAACCGAUGGUCCGUGGGCCACUGGUGGUCUGCGAGGUCCGAAAGGUUGGCGACCGCUGAUCUGGAUUGUAGGCAUGCUCAACGUUAGUGGGUGCUAGGCCCUUUCAGUGGGCAUACAAUAUGUAAUUUUAAAAUAUUUAACAUUGCUUGAAACUUGAUUUAUAUCAGUUGUCUUUAUUCUUUCUUAUGGCUUCAUAGUACUCAAUUAUGUGGAUGUUCCAUAGUUGAUUCAACAAAUCUCCCAUACCUGGACUUUUAAGACAUUUCCAGUCAUGUUUUUACAUAAUGCCACAAUAAGUAGCCUUGUGCAUACGUUGUUUUUACUUGUGGAGAUGUAUCUUCAGGGUAAUUUCCUAGCAGUGAUUCUACCCAGUCCAAGGGUGGGGAACGUUUGGUCUGGCCCUGCCAAGGUAUUAGGGGUGAGUUAAUUAAAUGUUUGACCAAAUAUAGUAGGCUGAUUUUUUAAAAUAUAUUUUUAUUUAUUUCAGAGGGGAGGGGAAGGGAGAGGAAGAGAUAGAAACAUCAAUGAUGAGAGAAUCGUUGAUGGGCUGCCUCCACACUCCUUACUGGGGAUUGAGCCUGCACCCCGGGCAUGUGCCCUUGACUGGAAUCUAACCCAGCUACCUUCAGUCCACAGACUGACGCUCUAUCCACUGAGCCAAACUAGCAAGGGCAGCAAACUAAUUUUUAAGUUGAUAUUAAAUUCUAUAUGGCCCUCGAAUGAUGUUAGAAAUUUACAAAUGGUUCUUGGCAGAAAAAGGUUCCCCACCCUGUCCUAGUCAAAAGGUAAAUAAAGGUACUUCUGUAGUUUUUGUUUUGAGAUGAUCAUAGUCCUUUCCAUAAAGGUUACAUCAUCCUGUACACCUACCAGCAGUUGUAGAAAUUAGGAAGUUUGGUGAAUAAACACUUAUUUGGGGGAUUAUUUGAUGACACUAGCAGUAGCAUUGUAAAGCAAAUGCUUAUUUUUAGAGAUUGCUGUAUUCCAGUGACUCUAGAUGUUUCAUAUAGAGUGAUUUAAUUUUCACAACAACUCUGAGAGACAAGUUCCUCUAUCAUCUCCAUCUUAGUUUCCAGAUGAGGAAACUGAGGCAUGGAUAGACUAAACAGCUACCAAGGUCAGAGCCAGAAUUUGAAUCCAAGAGGUUUAUUAGCUUCUGUGUUUCAGCUAAUUGUGGUGCUGUGCAGGUGUUUAUUAUACUCAUGUAAAACAGAUGGGGAAAUAGGCCCAUUGAAAGUUUUGCCCACGGCUGUCCUAAGCACAUGUGUGCUGCUGGUUAGCCUUUUUCCCUUUCUGUCACAGAUGGAGGAGUCAUUCUUGUUAGGUGGGGAAAUACGGCAGAGAAUGUACCCAAAGAGAAAGAAUACAGUACACCGGUAAAAAAGGGGAAGGGUCCACAGUCAGUUACUUUGCUGAGAAAGGCAGGUUGUGCCUGCCACUCUCCUAUCUUGGAAGGAUAGCUGCCUCUCAAGGCAUGAAGAGCUUAGGGGGUCAUCUGUGGUACGGGCUUUUGGCAGGCCCUGAGAUGUAGACUUUCACCAGGUCUACAUCGGGUUUUUUCUCCUGCCACCUCUGUAUUGGGAGCAGUGCGUGGAGGGAGGCAGCCGAACUGUUGGGAAGAAAAGGAUUAGGCUCCGGUGGGUUCCAAUCCUGGUACUUCCUCUGACCUUGUAGAAGUCUUACUGUGGAAUUGGGCAAAUUUAGUUUAGACAGAUGAGCAAUUGAUCAAAAAGCAGAACAAGAAAACAACCAAAAUUGGGGAACUUCACCCUUCUUAGGCCUGUCUUUGUAACGUGGGAAUAAAAUGUCUUUCCAUUCAUUGUGAACAUUAGAGGAGGUACACAUGUGCCUGGCGUAGGGUAGGUUUUCAAUGUGACUGUUGACCCUGAAAACACCUCCAGGAAACUCCCUAAUAAACAUUGUUCCAGCGACGCCCCCUUUGUAGAAUCUACCAUUUCCAUUUGUGGCAUUUUACAUUUUGUCGUUUAAAUAUCAUCUCUAAAGAAAACAGGUUGGAGGGAUGGAUAUCCUGUAACCAUUCUCCUGGUGUAGUUCCCAUGGGAUGCCAUACACAGCUGAGCCCUCGAUCUGGAGGCAAGGACAGUGCUUGCUCUUUAGUGCUGUAUUCCUUACCCUGCAAGGCCUGCAGAUAGCCGCAAGGAUGCAAAGUGCUAUCUUGAUGCCUGCUCUGACUUGACUUGCUUGAUGAGGCACAGAUAGUGUGUUCUGAUUAGGAGGAGACUGAAGUCACAGGCCUGUAGCAGUGUUGGGAGCAGGAGGCAGGAAGGAGCCAAAACCACUGCGCUGGACAGUGUACCCUGCUGGUGCAAUGGGCCAGGCCACACUUGAGACAUAGCCCAAAGUCUCUUCCUGGGCUUUGAUUCUGAGGGAAUCUUACAGCUUGAAGGAGGAGAUGCUGAGAUAGCAGGGGAUUGAGAGGCCAGGAAUGGGGCUUUGGGGGUACCAGAUCAGUGGGAACCAGGGUUCUUUUGGGGAGGGUUGAGACCUUGGGCAGCAUUUCACAGAGGAGGAGCCUAACCUUUCAAGUGCUUCUAAUCUUGUUAAUAAAUUCCUAUGUGAAUAAAGUUAACAUUUUUUCCAGUACUGUUAACAUUGAAUUGUAUUCUAUUUUGUUCUGUUAAUCCUCACCCAAGGAUAUUUUUUUCCAUUGAUUUUAGAAGGGGGGGGGGGG
Myotis daubentonii (Daubenton's bat) is the source of this 3811-nucleotide long non-coding RNA. RefSeq lists it as uncharacterized. NCBI's taxonomy places the organism in Eukaryota, Metazoa, Chordata, Mammalia, Chiroptera, Vespertilionidae. The record is from RefSeq and is a predicted model, not a curated record. The transcript has 2 exons.